CGGGGGGAGCAAGCGUUGUUCGGAUUUACUGGGCGUAAAGGGCGCGUAGGCGGCCACCGCAAGUCGACUGUGAAAUCUCCGGGCUUAACCCGGAAAGGUCAGCCGAUACUGCGGGGCUAGAGUGCAGAAGGGGCAACUGGAAUUCUCGGUGUAGCGGUGAAAUGCGUAGAUAUCGAGAGGAACACCUGCGGCGAAGGCGGGUUGCUGGGCUGACACUGACGCUGAUGCGCGAAAGCUAGGGGAGCGAACGGGAUUAGAUACCCCGGUAGUCCUAGCCUUAAACGAUGAAUGCUUGGUGUCUGGGGUUUUAUAAUCCCCGGGUGCCGUCGCUAACGCUUUAAGCAUUCCGCCUGGGGAGUACGGUCGCAAGACUG
RNAcentral lists this ribosomal RNA (374 nucleotides) under uncultured organism. Its description in RNAcentral is "bacterial SSU rRNA". It matches the Rfam family "Bacterial small subunit ribosomal RNA", at positions 526 to 896 of the family's 1533-position model. The record is from RNAcentral.